Molecule: unclassified non-coding RNA, 240 nt
Filed under: soil metagenome
Description: partial contains 5.8S ribosomal RNA, internal transcribed spacer 2, and large subunit ribosomal RNA
Source: RNAcentral
AACCUAGCACACCUGCGGUGUGUACCUGCGGAAGGAUCAUUACAGAGUUGCAAAACUCCCUAAACCAUUGUGAACGUUACCUAAACCGUUGCUUCGGCGGGCGGCCCGGGUCCUUCCCGGCGCCCCUCGGCCCUCGCGGGCGCCCGCCGGAGGUAAACCAAACUAUUGCAUUGUAUGGCCUCUCUGAGUCUUCUGUACUGAAUAAGUCAAAACUUUCAGCAACGGAUCUCAGAUCGGAAG